Molecule: ribosomal RNA, 253 nt
Filed under: uncultured bacterium
Lineage: Bacteria
Description: partial 16S ribosomal RNA
Rfam family: Bacterial small subunit ribosomal RNA
Source: RNAcentral
UACAGAGGUCUCAACCGUUGUUCGGAUUUACUGGGCGUAAAGGGCGCGUAGGCGGUAGCACAAGUCAGUUGUGAAAUCUCCGGGCUUAACUCGGAAAGGUCAACUGAUACUGUGCGACUAGAGUGCAGAAGGGGCAACUGGAAUUCUCGGUGUAGCGGUGAAAUGCGUAGAUAUCGAGAGGAACACCUGCGGCGAAGGCGGGUUGCUGGGCUGACACUGACGCUGAGGCGCGAAAGCCAGGGGAGCGAACGGG